RNAcentral lists this long non-coding RNA (2494 nucleotides) under Arachis ipaensis. Its description in RNAcentral is "long non-coding RNA (AIPA_LNC001177)". Lineage: Eukaryota; Viridiplantae; Streptophyta; Magnoliopsida; Fabales; Fabaceae. The record is from RNAcentral.
GAGGAAACAAAAAGGGAUAAAAUUUAGCGUCAAGGUUGAAAUCAACGGUACUGAUUAAAUCAGUACAACAAACGACAAAUGGCUUCCAACAAAAGAAAGAAAAAGGAACAACAAGAAUAGCAGACCAAACACUCCUUUCUUCCAUGAUUCUCUGCUGCAGUUGCAAUGUUCCUAUGCAUUUUUGCGCCUCCACUACCCCUGCUAUUGAUACUCUGAUUUUAGGAGAAGAAAGCAAGCACUACACCGUCCUCAUGUUCAAAUUUUGUCACCAAGGACAAUUUCAAAUUUUAGAAGCAUUAUCCCUAUACAAAAAAGAAUAAUUGGUCAGAAAAUGAAGGUAAGGAGUGAAGAGUACUAAACUAAGUUUUCAUAGCAUUCUUGCUACACUUAUCAUCUCCUUUAUUGUGUUCAUUGAAUAUGUUAUUUUUUAGUUUAUCUUUCUUUGUUUUCAAUAAAAAAAGCAUACAAGUGAGAUAUUUACAAAUGUUAUUGAGAGAAAAGGUAGAGACAAAUUUGGAAAAAAAAAUCAUUAAAUAUGUCAAACUCUUUUGAAGUAUUUUUUUUUUGUUUUAUGUCAUGAGUAUGAGAAGUUCCUCUUACUAAAUUGGGAGAGCACUUAGUGUUAAAGUCUAGGUUAGGGAGCUUAGCCGUAACAAACUUGAUUGAAGCUUGAUGUGUUUUUUAGUAAGAUUAGGAAGAAUCCUAAGAAUUGAUAAAUGUAAUUUCUCUAAAAUUAUAGUAAAAAUUUUACUACAUUUAUAAUGGACAUUAGAUGUAGGUCACAUUGUACUAAAUGAAAGUUUAAAAUGUUUAAAAUAAAAGUUUUAACAAACACUACAACAUCUAAGUUUCAAAUGGUUAUGAAGUUAAAAAACAUUAAAAACAGUCUUAGAUUCAUCCCUAUUUUCUAGGACAUUGACAUCUUCCAAGGUGUAUCAUUCUUAGUUUACAUAAACAUGAUAACGCAUAACAAAACUCAAUUUACGAAGUCACAUUAGUUUUAUUUAUUUUUCCCAAUAAUUUUCUUGUGGGAGUCAUUUGUUCAGUUUUGAUAUUAAUUUUCUUGAGAUGUAUUUACCGUCGAGGCAUGGAAGAUGAAACCAGCGAAAAUAUAAAUAUGAUUUCAUUUCACCAUUUCAUUGACUUUACAUAACUAAUGCCGAUACAAAUGCCACGAAAAGGACUUCUUUUACUGAUGUUGCACAAACUACCUAUGAAAAAGUCCCACCAACACAAAAAGCAGAAUCGCAAUCUGCAAAACUGUGGCAUCAGUAACUAAAUCGACGCUCCAAUCAGUUCCUAUUUGCUGUGUCAUUGGCAUUCUGGUCUCUGGUAUCAGAUGAUGAACCCUGGCCGGGAUAGCUUGUUCUCUUCUUCCUGUGAAUAUUCCAGGAAAACUUAUUCUCGUCCACACCACUCUCACUUCCAUGUUUCUGGGAACUUGGUUCUUCAGUUUUCAGCCGCUUAGAAGCAGGAGUCACAAUGAAAUCAUCUGCACUUGAUCUUUCAAUCUUCAUCUUGAGGACACUUCCACUCCUUUGCUCUAACAACCUUUCAUCGGCCACUGUUUUAUUGCUGGCUUGUGCAUGGUUGUCAGAAAGGAGGAUGCCUCUUUUCUUCCCUUUAGCUGAAAGCUUAGAUACAUCUUGUCCAUUCUCCAUAGCCCUCAUCCACUGCAGAUCACUUAAUGUGUCUGCAUACACGACUUCUUUUCUUUUCCGCUUUCCGGUAACACUACCAACAUCAAAAGAUUUGGCCUUAUCAUCCUUAUUUAGAGCAGAGUAUACCCAAUCUGGAACUUCAUGCUCUUCCAUGAGACGAGAUCUAUAAUUCUCCCUUUGUCUCCUCUCUUCAUCCAUUUUCUCAAACAGCCAAAAUUCCUCAUCGGAUCGGGCUGCAAGGCGGUUAAUUUCUCUCUCACUCGGUACAUCUGUCCCAAGUGAGCUUGUACCUCUUCGCAUAAUCUCCUCUAACAUUUCUCUUCUGUCCUGAGCUGCACAAAUAAAUAUUCCACAUUCAAGCAGUUAAUGUAUAGCAAGACCUAUGAAGCACAACACGGGACUGAAACAGUGCCACAGGUUUGUUCCAAACUGAACACAAAUGUGUGUUUCAUAUAUGUGUUUAUAGAAUAUGAAAGAACUAUGAUCCUAAACAAACCUGUUGAAGUUGUAUUGAAAAGUCCUGCUUGGAUAACUUUGGCAUCAAUGCCCAUCUUUUGUUUUGCACGCUCUAAAAUCACCUCUUCAAUUGAUCCCACACUAACUAACACAAAUACUCUGACUUCCUUUUUUUGUCCAAUGCGAUGGGCUCGGUCCUCAGCUUGUUGAUCCAUUUGAGGGUUCCAAUCACUAUCAAAUAUUAUAACAGUAUCUGCUGAUUGUAGGUUCAAACCAAGACCUCCAGCACGGGUGCUCAAGAGAAACAUAAAGUAUGGAGAGUCAGGAGCGUUGAAUUCCCGUAAUAGAGAACCUCUUUCCUCAGUUUUUGUUGAGCC